This 254-nucleotide ribosomal RNA is filed under the name uncultured bacterium. Its description in RNAcentral is "partial 16S ribosomal RNA". It matches the Rfam family "Bacterial small subunit ribosomal RNA", at positions 524 to 776 of the family's 1533-position model. The record is from RNAcentral.
UACAGAGGGUGCGAGCGUUGUCCGGAAUCACUGGGCGUAAAGGGCGCGUAGGUGGUGGCUUAAGCGUGCGGUGAAAACUCGGAGCUCAACUCCGAGUCGGCCGUGCGAACUGGGCUCACUGGAGCAUAGUAGAGGCAGGUGGAAUUCCGGGUGUAGCGGUGGAAUGCGCAGAUAUCAGGAGGAACACCGAUGGCGAAGGCAGAUCUCUGGGCCGUAACUGACGCUGAGGAGCGAAAGCGUGGGGAGCGAACAGG